GACGUAUUAAAAAAAACUACUUACUAGAUCUCGUUCAAAUCAAUUUUCAGUGGAAGUUUACAUGGUAAUGUACAUCAUAUAUUUUUUUUAGUUUUAUCAUUCUCUUAUUUUAGAAAUUACAGGGGGGGGGGGGGACACACAUUUUACCACUUUGGAAGUGUCUCUCGCGCAAACUAUUCAGUUUAGAAAAAAAUAAUAUUAGGAACCUCAAUAUCAUUUUUGAAGACCUAUCCAUAGAUACCCCACACGUAUGGGUUUGAUGAAAAAAAAAAUUUUUGAGCGAUUUAUGACGUAUUAAAAAAAAACUACUUACUAGAUCUCUUACAGGGGGGGGGGGACGACGACACACAUUUUACCACUUUGGAAGUGUCUCUCGCGCAAACUAUUCAGUUUAGAAAAAAAUUAUAUUAGAAACCUCAAUAUCAUUUUUGAAGACCUAUCCAUAGAUACCCCACACGUAUGGGUUUGAUGAAAAAAAAUUUUGAGUUUCAGUUCUAAGUAUGGGAAACCCCAAAAAUUUAUUGUUUUUUUUCUAUUUUUGUGUGAAAAUCUUAAUGCGGUUCACAGA
Molecule: long non-coding RNA, 568 nt
Organism: Cydia amplana
Lineage: Eukaryota; Metazoa; Arthropoda; Insecta; Lepidoptera; Tortricidae
Exons: 3
Source: RefSeq, a predicted model, not a curated record